This 773-nucleotide ribosomal RNA is filed under the name uncultured bacterium. RNAcentral's name for it is "bacterial SSU rRNA". It matches the Rfam family "Bacterial small subunit ribosomal RNA", at positions 8 to 796 of the family's 1533-position model. The record is from RNAcentral.
AGAGUUUGAUCAUGGCUCAGGACGAACGCUGGCGGCGUGCUUAACACAUGCAAGUCGAACGGAAAGGUCUCUUCGGAGAUACUCGAGUGGCGAACGGGUGAGUAACACGUGGGCAAUCUGCCCUGCACUUCGGGAUAAGCCUGGGAAACUGGGUCUAAUACCGGAUAGGACCUCAAGACGCAUGUCUUCUGGUGGAAAGCUUUUGCGGUGUGGGAUGGGCCCGCGGCCUAUCAGCUAGUUGGUGGGGUGAUGGCCUACCAAGGCGACGACGGGUAGCCGGCCUGAGAGGGUGUCCGGCCACACUGGGACUGAGAUACGGCCCAGACUCCUACGGGAGGCAGCAGUGGGGAAUAUUGCACAAUGGGCGCAAGCCUGAUGCAGCGACGCCGCGUGGGGGAUGACGGCCUUCGGGUUGUAAACCUCUUUCAGCAGGGACGAAGCGCAAGUGACGGUACCUGCAGAAGAAGCACCGGCCAACUACGUGCCAGCAGCCGCGGUAAUACGUAGGGUGCGAGCGUUGUCCGGAAUUACUGGGCGUAAAGAGCUCGUAGGUGGUUUGUCGCGUUGUUCGUGAAAACCGGGGGCUUAACCCUCGGCGUGCGGGCGAUACGGGCAGACUAGAGUACUGCAGGGGAGACUGGAAUUCCUGGUGUAGCGGUGGAAUGCGCAGAUAUCAGGAGGAACACCGGUGGCGAAGGCGGGUCUCUGGGCAGUAACUGACGCUGAGGAGCGAAAGCGUGGGGAGCGAACAGGAUUAGAUACCCCAGUAGUCC